Molecule: ribosomal RNA, 253 nt
Filed under: uncultured Armatimonadota bacterium
Lineage: Bacteria; Bacillati; Armatimonadota
Description: uncultured Armatimonadetes bacterium partial 16S ribosomal RNA
Rfam family: Bacterial small subunit ribosomal RNA
Source: RNAcentral
UACGUAGGGGGCGAGCGUUGUCCGAAUUUACUGGGCGUAAAGCGCGUGUAGGCGGUUUCCUAAGUCAGAUGUGAAAUCCUGGGGCUCAACCCCAGAACUGCACCUGAAACUGGGAGGCUUGAGUUUGGGAGAGGAGAGUGGAAUUCCUGGUGUAGCGGUGAAAUGCGUAGAUAUCAGGAGGAACACCCGUGGCGAAGGCGGCUCUCUGGCCCAACACUGACGCUGAGACGCGAAAGCUAGGGGAGCGAACGGG